This is a long non-coding RNA of Pangasianodon hypophthalmus (striped catfish), 4214 nucleotides long. RefSeq lists it as uncharacterized. The record is from RefSeq and is a predicted model, not a curated record. The transcript is spliced from 2 exons. NCBI's taxonomy places the organism in Eukaryota, Metazoa, Chordata, Actinopteri, Siluriformes, Pangasiidae.
AGCAAACCAACGUGUUAUUUGCAAAAAAAAAAAAAAAAAAAAGUCUGGUCAUCUAGGUGAUAGUAAUAGUAAUGCUUCGACUAAAACUCAUAACCGGCAGGGGGGGAGGUCAGUCUCCUCAACCCUGAGUUCAGCAAGUGAUGUCAGAUCAACAUGGCUGCUCACAGUAUCAACAGCAAGUAAAGUAGCUUGAUAACUUCUUACUUUUUAAUGAGUUAUACUAUAUAUACCAGUAUUUGUUUUAGAUCAAUCAACAUAUAGCCAUAUUCGCUUGUUAAAUCUAUUACACUGACUAUACAGUUUACUGUUUUGAGGAGUUAAAUAUAUCACUCAUCACAGUUAACUGUCUAGAUUGUUGCUAACAAAAGACAUACAUGAAGGCGGCCAUGUUUUUCUCCCAUUUUCUGGUUCAAAGGCAUGGAGAUCGAAAUGACAUAAUUCUGAGUUCUGACUUCCCACUUCCGAGUUAAGUCAAACAGUCUAUAAUAGUAAAUAAUAUAAUAGUAAAGGGAUUAAAAUCAAAUUUAACAAAGAAAAAAAAAAUUUUAGAUAAUGAAAGUUUCAGGAGUGUUUAUUUAACUUUUUUGGAAGGAGUCUCCAGUGUCAGCACUUGCCAGGACUUGGACUUUUGCGGUUUCUUGUGGAUUCAUCCUGAUGCUGUACUUUUGCUUGGAGCUUCUGAAUUUGUGACUCACUUUCUACUGCUGUGUAUGGUCCUACUUGAACUUUGCACUUUGCCCAAGACUUCAGUGGAUAAUCUGACUGGGAUACUGUAGACUUUUAGAAGUGCAUGGGUUCUCCCUAAAGUUGCCGCAAGGAGUUUUUCUUGCCAUUGUCACCUCUGGCAUGAUCAUUACAUCAUCUACAUCUGGAAUUAAGAUAAGAUAAACUUUAUUGAUCCCAUUCUGUACAGCUGCUUUGUGACUGCUUGUGUGUUAAAAUCACUAUACAAAUAAAAUUGAAUUGAAUUCAAACAUAUAGCUUUUGAGCAAACCCUCAUAUUUGCAUUAAAAUGAACAAAACAGACUUAAGACAGUACUAAAGGACAGUUCCUUUUAAGGUGAAUUGAAGUGACUUAUUUCAUCAUGUGCAGCAGUGUAGGACCAUGGUGUGAUUAUUGACUCCAGACAUUCAUUUGAAGCCCUUGUAGAUAAUAUUACUAGGACAGCCUUCUUUCAUCUCAGAAAUAUUGCUAAGAUAAGAAAUAUAAUGUCACUACACAAUGCAGAAAAAUUAGUUCUUAUUAUAAACAAGCUCUAGUUAGUCCAGAAUGCAGCAAUGAGAGUCCUUACUAGAACCAUUAGAUAUGACCACAUCACCCCUAUCUUAUCCACACUGAAUUGGCUCCUAAUGAAAUUUCACAUUGAUUAUAAAAUACUGCUAUUGCCCUAUAAAGCACUGAAUGGUCUUAUUCCGCAAUGCCUGAGCGAACGUUUGAGCGAUCCGUCAUGCCUACUUCAAUCAAAAGGUGCAGGCUAUUUGUUGGUACCUUGAAUAGUGAAGGCUACAGCAGGGGGCAGAUCUUUCUCUUACAAAGCCCCACAGCUAUGGAGCAGCCUUUCAAUUAGUGUUCCGGACUCCGAUACAGUCUCAGUGUUUAAGUCUAGGCUGAAAACGUAUUUGUUUAGUCAAGCCUUUUACAAAUAUUUUUUUUUCUUAGGUAAAGGAGCAGACCUGGAGGGUUCACAGGCAUAGAGUGUUGUGGUGAACUGGGAUGUUUGGAUGCUGUCGCCCCCCAACUUAUGUGUUCACUCAGGUUCGUUGAUGGUGGAGUGGCUGGCCGCUUUAUGUCCCAGUUCACCCUCAUGCCUGUGUUACCUUCUGGCUCUCCCUUUUAGUUAUGCUGUCACAGCUAGUCUUUCCGGAGUCCCUGUUUGCACUCUGCAUGCAAAGUACAUUGUCCUUAACCAUUGCGGGACAAAAAGCAUACCUAACAAUCUCUACCUCUCUCUCCAUCUCCCCCCACCCUGUCUCUCUCUCUCUCUCUCUCUCUCUCUCUCUCUCUGUUGAGCUACAAAUGCUACUACUGAGAUACCAGUGAUCCUGACCCCUUCUGCUCUCUGGACCUGCCUGAUCCAUCUUGAUGCCCUACUUCUGGUUGGAGUUCUCAUCAGUUGGAGAUCGCUCGCUGCUGCUGGGGGUGGCCCCACAUGGACGACCUGAAGAUCAUUGGGAUUGCUGGAGAUGGUGCUGCUUGGGGACAGUGGAGAUGGCUUUGGAUUGUGGUUCACAUGGGCAGCUGUACUGUGAUGGCUUUGGGGCUGCGGUUGCCAUGAGCAGUUUUGCACUCAGGUCUCCAUCAGUGGACAGUGGAUAGGUUCAACAAAAAAGACUUCAUGUGAAAACUGUAAUCAAUUUCCUGGUUACACAGUUGCACUAUUUUGUCCAUGUAGUACAAGGGAUUUACUGAUAAUGGCACUAUCCAGUUUCACCCAGAUGAGGAUGGGUUCCCUUUUGAGUCCAGUUCCUCUCAAGGUUUCUUCCUCAUAUCAUCUCAGGAAGGUUUUCCUCACCAUUGCCUCUCGCUUGCUCAUUAGGGAUAAAUUCACACAUUUACAAUUUAUACCCUGAGUAUAUUUAUUUCUGUAAAGCUUCUUUGUGGUAAUGCCCAUUGUUAAAAGCGCUAUACAAAUAAAAUUGAAUUAAACUGAACAUGCAUAUGUGUGUACCACUAGAUGUCAGUGCCGUACAUCUAUGGAAAUUUGGUCCUUCCACAUUCACAGUUCAGUACAGGCACAUGACAUGUCUUUUCUAAACUAGAGUUUUUUCCCCCAUUCUGACCGUAUAUGUAAAAUAUUAAAGAUAUAUACAUUUUUUCCUGGAUUAUAAAGAAGAAGAAACCAAGCUGGAGUUUUGUUUGUUUUAAUCUUCCUUAAAAAUCUUGUGUCAUGGUUGUAAUAUGCCUAUGGGAAUACAGGGGAAAAAAACUACAAAACUCCUCAUCCUUAAUAACUAAAUUAAAUUAAAUUAAAUUUGUAUAGUGACUUUAACAAUUAGCAUUGUCACCGAGCAGCUUUAGAGAAAUCCGGAUGUAGUUGAUGACCAAGCCAGAGAUGACAGUGGCAAGGAAAAAAAAAACCCUGAAAUGACAUGAGGAAGAAACUUUGAGAAAAACCAGACUAAAAAAGAGCCGACACCAGAAAGUGGGAUUAUAAAUCAUUACAAUAUACAGGUGUAGAAGAGUAAAGGGUAGACUAAAGACUGUGUUAAAAGGAUGUUCUCUUGUCUUUCAGAUUAUGUAUCCUUACAGAUUCCUGAAGGUUUGUAAAUUACUCUGGGUAAGAGCAUUUGAAAAAUGACUAAACGUCAAAGUAAAUGUAAUGAGUUAAGUGGAUUUUCUUUCUGUCUGUUUGGGUGGAUCAGGUAAUUGAUCUUCUCUGUCUCAUAAGCCUGACAGGUCAGAGAUGAGGUCUGAGGACACGCUGUGACUUGACCCACCUUUUUUGUGACCUCCAAUGACCCCCCCUACUGCCCCCCAGUUUCCUGUGGAAAAUGAACCUUAUAUCACCUGUGUGUGUGUGUGUGUUUUACUUUCAAAUGUAGGUGUACAAUAUCAGACCAGGCUGGGGGCUGGAGCCGGUUCACUGCCUCUGAAAAGGGAGCUCAGACCUCACACACACACACAUACACACACAGUCUCAGUUUACAUGCCUUUGAACUACACUGUAGUUAAACACUGGCAUGCCUACAACCUAAACCCUGACCUUGACCAACUCCACCAACCAACCACUAACCAAACAAACAUUCAGAUGUUUACAAGUUGUUCCUCAUUUUUCCUUCAUAACAGUUGGUUUCCACAAAGAUAGCAAAAACAGAGCAUACACAAACACACUCACACAUACAUAGCUGGCUCUUAAUACCUCUUUGUAUGGCACAUUAGAUGCCUGGCCAUACAGAUGCUCUGAACAGCCACUGACUGGUAGGGUUUAAAAAAAAAAGUCUGUGCAGUCAUGGCUUGUCGUGAUAUCCAAUGAGAGAGUUAGAAAUUCUAAAAAUGUUUGUCUUACAAUCCUUAUGAUAUGAUAUGCUUUCUACUGAUAAUUAUUGUGGGACCUUUUGGGAACCAACCAAAAACUGUCAAAUACAAAUAUUCCUACCCUUGCAGGGACAUUUGGUGCAGCUGCAUUUGUGAUAAAUGUUUUAAGUCAGUUGACCUUGUGGGCCAGUGCUGUGCACUAAAUGCCUAUGCUUGCAUUAAAAUACACAACUUGUGA